GGCCGGUGUGCUCGCUUGUGGCACUUGUAGCAAGGCCCUCAACUUAGAAGCCACUACAGCCAUGAAGGCAGCCCUCGUCCUGCUGAUCUCUGGUGUGUUGCUUGUGGCGUACUGCACGCCGCUGGCUGCUGCAGACGAUGGAGACGAAGUGUUCGAAGAUGACGACGAGACUGACAGCUCAGCAGACGACGACGCCGACGACUGCAGUGAUGAGGAGGGUCUAAGUGGAGAGAGCAGGCGGGCAGCCAAAGCAGGUGCUCACGCCCGGGCCGGCCACGCGAAACACGCUCGUGCAGGCAGCCGACACGCUGCGAGCAGAGCUGCAAACAGACCCCACGCCAGGUCAGGCGCCGCCCGCAGAGCCGCCCACAAGUUGUAGCCGCCGCCGCUGAGGGGGCGCUGCACCGUGGAGGCGCAGUCUGCGCUGCUCACACUGUCAUGUACCAUGCACUGACAUGGCAUAAAUAAAGCACCACUGCACUUUGCAGCAAA
Molecule: RNA transcript, 492 nt
Organism: Schistocerca americana (American grasshopper)
Lineage: Eukaryota; Metazoa; Arthropoda; Insecta; Orthoptera; Acrididae
Gene name: nucleosome assembly protein 1;2-like
Exons: 2
Source: RefSeq, a predicted model, not a curated record